GACGAACGCUGGCGGCGUGCUUAACACAUGCAAGUCGAACGGAAAGGCCCUGCUUUUGUGGGGUGCCCGAGUGGCGAACGGGUGAGUAACACGUGAGUAACCUGCCCUUGACUUUGGGAUAACUUCAGGAAACUGGGGCUAAUACCGGAUAGGAGCUCCUGCUGCAUGGUGGGGGUUGGAAAGUUUCGGCGGUUGGGGAUGGACUCGCGGCUUAUCAGCUUGUUGGUGGGGUAGUGGCUUACCAAGGCUUUGACGGGUAGCCGGCCUGAGAGGGUGACCGGCCACAUUGGGACUGAGAUACGGCCCAGACUCCUACGGGAGGCAGCAGUGGGGAAUAUUGCACAAUGGGCGGAAGCCUGAUGCAGCAACGCCGCGUGCGGGAUGACGGCCUUCGGGUUGUAAACCGCUUUCGCCUGUGACGAAGCGUGAGUGACGGUAAUGGGUAAAGAAGCACCGGCUAGCUACGUG
This 468-nucleotide ribosomal RNA is filed under the name uncultured bacterium. RNAcentral's name for it is "partial 16S ribosomal RNA". It matches the Rfam family "Bacterial small subunit ribosomal RNA", at positions 28 to 507 of the family's 1533-position model. The record is from RNAcentral.